Molecule: ribosomal RNA, 164 nt
Filed under: uncultured bacterium
Lineage: Bacteria
Description: partial 16S ribosomal RNA
Rfam family: Bacterial small subunit ribosomal RNA
Source: RNAcentral
GCAGCAGUGAGGAAUAUUGGUCAAUGGGCGCGAGCCUGAACCAGCCAAGUCGCGUGAGGGAAGACGGUCCUAUGGAUUGUAAACCUCUUUUGUCGGGGAGCAAGAAAGGGUAUGCAUACCCUACUGAGAGUACCCGAAGAAAAAGCAUCGGCUAACUCCGUGCC